This 23-nucleotide non-coding RNA is filed under the name Cricetulus griseus (Chinese hamster). The record is from RNAcentral. Lineage: Eukaryota; Metazoa; Chordata; Mammalia; Rodentia; Cricetidae.
CAAAUAAAAAUCAUUGAACCCUG